UCGGGAAUUUUGGGCAAUGGGCGAAAGCCUGACCCAGCAACGCCGCGUGAAGGAUGAAGUAUUUCGGUAUGUAAACUUCGAAAGAAUAGGAAGAAUAAAUGACGGUACUAUUUAUAAGGUCCGGCUAACUACGUGCCAGCAGCCGCGGUAAUACGUAGGGACCAAGCGUUGUUCGGAUUUACUGGGCGUAAAGGGCGCGUAGGCGGCAUGACAAGUCACUUGUGAAAUCUCUGGGCUUAACCCAGAACGGCCAAGUGAUACUGUCGCGCUAGAGUGCAGAAGGGGCAAUCGGAAUUCUUGGUGUAGCGGUGAAAUGCGUAGAUAUCAAGGGGAACACCUGAGGUGAAGACGGGUUGCUGGGCUGACACUGACGCUGAGGCGCGAAAGCCAGGGGAGCAAACGGGAUUAGAUACCCUCGUAGUCCCUGAGCGGGCUGGCAAGGCGCAU
This 447-nucleotide ribosomal RNA is filed under the name uncultured bacterium. Its description in RNAcentral is "bacterial SSU rRNA". It matches the Rfam family "Bacterial small subunit ribosomal RNA", at positions 355 to 825 of the family's 1533-position model. The record is from RNAcentral.